GGGUAUUACAUCAGAGUAGGACCAGACACAACAAAAUAGAUGGGCCGCUGGCUCCCUACCCAGGUAUGAUGACCAAAGAUCAAAGGACAAGCAAGAAUCAAAGGAAGAGAGCAAUAGAGAAGUAAGUUGUUAUGUUUGUGAAUGGGGUUGUUUUCUAUUCACUCCUUCAACAGGGGAAUUAUGAAAUCGAUUCUGUGGGCAGGGAAGCCUACUCGGGAGGCAGAGACAAUGUUCUGGAGCUUUGGAAAAUAGAGGAGAACCAAGACUUGUAAAUGAAUAGCUGAUGUGAGUUAGCCAAGCAAUAUAAGCAGCAAGGGAGAUCUAGAAAAGGUUGCAUGAGCUAAGAGAAGGAAGAAAUUACUUCUAUCUGUUCUUCCUGGGAUGAAAUCCAGUAAGGCUUCCAGUAGCCUAAACUGUGGCUUAAUGGAAGAAGAAGCAUGAGCAGCAAAGAAAAGGGUUGGAAACCAAGCUGUCAAAGUGUUGGGCAAGGGCUAUAAUUCAGAGACCUGCAGGAAGAGCUGACAAAACAAUACACGUCUGCAGGCCAUAUCUGGACUGAGGACCAACAGCUACAAGUUCUGAUGUAGGGAUAACCCUAUCUGACUGAAGGUACAGCUGGAAAGAUAGUGGCAGAUUAAUCCUCGCAAUGCCCUUCGCUGAUGUUCUGUACCAGGCCUGAACUUACAAAUCAGUUGACAUCAGGUCCUGAAUUGACAGAAGCUUUGCUCAGGCCUUUGGCAGAUCCCCAUCUGGUUAGGGAUCCUUCCAACACCUGUCCUUCCUCUCUUAUUUCC
Molecule: long non-coding RNA, 794 nt
Organism: Canis lupus familiaris (dog)
Lineage: Eukaryota; Metazoa; Chordata; Mammalia; Carnivora; Canidae
Exons: 4
Source: RefSeq, a predicted model, not a curated record